Molecule: ribosomal RNA, 497 nt
Filed under: uncultured bacterium
Lineage: Bacteria
Description: partial 16S ribosomal RNA
Rfam family: Bacterial small subunit ribosomal RNA
Source: RNAcentral
GAUGAACGCUGGCGGCGUGCCUAAUACAUGCAAGUCGAGCGAACAGACGAGGAGCUUGCUCCUCUGACGUUAGCGGCGGACGGGUGAGUAACACGUGGAUAACCUACCUAUAAGACUGGGAUAACUUCGGGAAACCGGAGCUAAUACCGGAUAAUAUAUUGAACCGCAUGGUUCAAUAGUGAAAGACGGUUUUGCUGUCACUUAUAGAUGGAUCCGCGCCGCAUUAUCUAGUUGGUAAGGUAACGGCUUACCAAGGCAACGAUGCGUAGCCGACCUGAGAGGGUGAUCGGCCACACUGGAACUGAGACACGGUCCAGACUCCUACGGGAGGCAGCAGUAGGGAAUCUUCCGCAAUGGGCGAAGGCCUGACGGAGCAACGCCGCGUGAGUGAUGAAGGUCUUCGGAUCGUAAAACUCUGUUAUUAGGGAAGAACAAAUGUGUAAGUAACUAUGCACGUCUUGACGGUACCUAAUCAGAAAGCCACGGCUAACUACGUG